UACGGAGGGUGCUAGCGUUAUCCGGAUUUACUGGUUUAAAGGGUGCGUAGGCGGAAGAUUAAGUCAGAUGUGAAAGCUAGCAGCUUAACUGUUAGAUUGCGUUUGAUACUGGUUUUCUUGAAUUCGGUGGAAGUAGGCGGGAUAAAUCAUGUAGCGGUGAAAUGCACAGAUAUGAUUUAGAACACCGAUUGCGAAGGCAGCUUGCUAUCCCGAUAUUGACGCUGAGGCACGAGAGCGUGGGGAUCAAACAGG
This 252-nucleotide ribosomal RNA is filed under the name uncultured bacterium. RNAcentral's name for it is "partial 16S ribosomal RNA". It matches the Rfam family "Bacterial small subunit ribosomal RNA", at positions 524 to 776 of the family's 1533-position model. The record is from RNAcentral.